GCUCCAUCGUAUUAUAAACAGUUUUGAUUUUAGCGCUCAUAUGGAAAUGUUUACAACGUGAUCAAGAUAGGAUGUAAACUAGUUAUUCUUAAAUGAUGAAGAUUCUAAAACUCCUUCAAUAAUGGACACGACGAACGGGUACGACCCGACGCUGCCAAUGGAUCUGGAAGGAAGCGUCAAUCCAGAUCUUCUGACAGAAGUCACGUUUGGGUCACAUUUGGAGUAUCCUGAUGGAUCAGUGCCCAUGUUUGCCAAGACCAGUAAUGGAAGGAUGUCCCCAGUACGAGCCAGAACCAUGAAGGAAUAUGACCAGCAAAUUGCAGUCCUAAAGAAGGAGAACUUCAGUCUGAAGCUAAGAAUUUAUUUCCUGGAGGAGAGGAUGCAGCAGAAAUUUGGAGAUGGGGAGGAUGUGUUUAAGACUAAUAUCGAGCUGAAGGUCGAGUGCGAGAGCCUGAAGCGAGAACUGGCCGACAAACACAACUUGUUGAAGAAAGCCUCGAAUGCUAUGGAAAAUCUGUCAAGUAACCACCAAUCAGAGAUGGCAAAGAUACAGGCACAAGUAGAAAGAGAUUUCAAAGACUCUAACAAUGGGCUGGCAUAUCAACUUGACUCUGCUCAAAAGGCCCAUUUUGAAGCAGAAGAGGCUCUUCAGGACAGCAAGGACAAGAUACAGGAAUUACAGGGGCAACUUGACAAGAUGGCCACAGAGGUCAAAGAGGUGCAACAAAAGGGAGAUGACUAUGUGAAGGAUUUGAUGCAAGAGUUGAAGGAUAAAAACAAUGAAAUAGAGCAUCUGACUGCCACAAACCUGAAGAACCAGGACGACAUAGAUCUGCUCCAACAACAGAAGGACCAUGCUGAGGAUGAGCUCGAAAAACUGGAGAAGGAACUCGGCAGGAAGGGGCGAGAUCUAGAGCAACUGUCGUGCAUUGUGAGGGAUACUACCCUACUGGACAGUCAGUCCUUCCUUCUCAACAAUCAUCUCCAGGAUGCUGUUGAUGACCAGAAUGAAGCAGUAAAGAACAUGGAGGAAAAGGUCAAGGACGGUGAAUUAAAGAUAAAGGACAAGAAUGAAACAAUAGGGAAACUAGAGGACCUGCUGAAGUCUGUUGAAGCUAAUCGAAAGGAGAAGGAGAAAACUUUACAAGAUGCAGAAGACAAACUGCUUCAAGAGAGGACAAAGGCUGCUCUACGGGACAAAACUAUCAAAGGGCUCCACUCUGUUAUCACUACCAAAGCUAAGGAGAUGGAAGCUUUGGCGGAGAAGUUGAAGGUGCGUGACGAGGAGAUGAAGGCGAUGCAGGAGGAAUUCCAGGACACAGCAGUACAGCGACAGAAGGAGUUAGAUCGCCAACAUGAGGAGAACAACUUUCUGGAGCAGAAGGAGGCCAGCAUGAAGGUUCGUCUGGCAGAACAGGAAAAUGAACUGGAGAAGCUGAUGAGGUCACUAGGUCGUAAGGAGGGAGAACUGGAGGGUUUUAAGGACCUCCUCAGCAAGGCACAGAACGCACUCCAGCAGAGCGAGGAUGCUGUAGAGGUUCUCCAAGACCAACUGAAGAAGGAGCGAGUGCCCUCUCACCCCUCGUCUGCCCAUAGUAGCCCAGUCAAGCAUUACAAGGACUUGCUGGAUGAGUCCCAGAAGCGUGUUUCUGAGAAGGACAGCAUGAUUCACCAACUAAAUGAUACACUCCGGGACAAGGACAAACAACUGCGCACAUGUAUGGGCAUCUUUGACACCCCACAGGAUGCAGUUAGUGGUGAAAUGGUGGACAAACUGACCAGACAACUGAAGGAGAGUGACCGUGCACUGGCUAGGUUGCUGGAGGAACGUGCAUUGGUGAUUGCAGAGAAAGAGAAGAAGCUUGAGGAGUUAAGGGAAGUACUGAGUGAUAAGGAGGCAGACAUCGCUAGAGCUAACAAGAUGCUGCUUGCUGCUGAGGAUACCAUAGAUUGUUUGGAGAAGGCAAACAAGGAGAAAGCGAACAGUCUGCAGGUAGCAACAGACAUGAUGAGAGCUGCUGAACAGGCUUUACAGGAUGCCAAGCAGAGCUUUUCACAGGCCAUGGCUGAGAAGGACUCUAUAAUUAGUCGUCUUCAGGACUCAAUAGGGGACAAGGAGGCCCUGCUUAAGGAGACAAUGAAGCGAGCCCCGAUGACAACAGAUGAAGUGAUGGACUUGAAGAAAACGCUACAGAACAAGGAUCGCACAUUACAAGAUAUGAUUGACGAGAAGGACAAGACCCUGACAGCCAAUGCCGAGUGUGUUAACAGCCUGCUGAAGAAACUGCAGGCCAGGGAGGCGGAGCUAAGUCAGAUGAGUGACAAGCACAAGAAAGACAUUGCUAACAUGGAGCAAGAGACGCUGAAAAUGAGUGGAGACUUGAGGAAGGUGGAAAUGGAACUGAGGAGGAAACAGAAUGAGUUACAUUCUGCUGAUAACCAGGCUAGUCGGUCACACCAGCAAAGUCAGGAUGUUUUGGACAAAUUACGAGCAGUCAUCUCGGACAAGGACAAAACCAUCAGUACACUGCUGGACAGUGUCCAGGAGAAGGACAAAGUGAAUGGACAGCUCAGGCAUGACCUUCAGAGCAAGGAUGACCUGGUGGAUAAGCUUCAGACGCUGUUGCGCCAGUCUCAGACAGGCUCCAGUGCAGACCUAAGUGCCAAACUCCAGGAGCUACAGAUAGAGCUUGCUGUAAAAACCGAGGGGUUGAGGAAUGCCAGACGUAUGGAAGAGGACCUGCGAGAGCAGAUUCAGGAGCUGAAGCAGAAGUUAAACAGUGUGCCCCAAGGUGACCGGGAGUACCAUACCCUGGAGAAACAAAUAUACUACCUCAAGGACAAACUGGAGGGUCAGGGCUGGACACCAGGAGGCAGCAGUCCAGGGUCACCAGGGGGCAGCAGUGCAGGGUCAAAUGGUCAGCAGGUCCUACUGCAGGAGACAUUGCAAGCCCAACUUGAAGAACUUAGGAGGUUGAAUGCAGCAGUGCAAACAGAGCAACACCUUCUGGAGAGUAUCAGAGACAAGAGUCAGGGGAGUGACCACUCACAAGCAGUAGAUGAGGAGCUGACCGCUGUCCGCACCCUGAGGAGGGAGUUGGAGGAAGGGGUGCAGCACAACCAUCAGAUGAGGACCAUCCUGGAGGGACAGAUGAAGGGUAUAUCAACCAAAGAGUCUUCUCAAGAAAAUGUGGAUGACUUAAGGAAAACUCUGAACUUCCUGAAGCUUGAACUUGAGACAAGUAAGCUCAACAAUAGGUUACUUCAGUCCAAAAAUGACCUGCAACCGAGACAACGGGUAGACGGAGAGGGUAGAGCAGAAUCGUACCACCAAGGGGCACAAACUUCACCAGUGGCAGCUACAUGGAGUCCCGGUAAGAAUCGGAGUCCUUCACCUAUUGAUGUAAAUGUUCAGCUGAAUCGCCAGACCUUGUCUGACAUGUCUGCCCCAAUGUUGCGGAAAUUGAUCAGACAGUUACAACAACAACUGAGUCAGGAGGAGAAAGAGAAUGCAGAGCUACGCAGGAAACUUAGUGUUAUGGAAGAUGUACGCAACAUUCCAGGGAAGAAUGACGACGACGAGAACAGCAUACCGUACCUACGAUCAGAGAUUGAGAGACUGGAAAGGGAAGUGAUCAGAAAGGAGGAGAUGAUUGGUGAGUUACAGGUCAGAUUAGGCUCACAGGAGCGAGACAGCAGUGCAGGUGGUGUAACAGACCUUAAGAACGAAGUCAAGAAAUUAACACUUCAGUUAAAUCACACACAGGAAGUUAUUUCAAUGUUGAAACAACAGCUGAUAUUAAACGCUCAAAGUAAAGGAAGUGACUUUGAUCCCGAGCUCAUUGUACAGAUGGCUGGUGAAAUACAGAAACUGAAGUUAGAAUGUGACAAGGCAAGGCGUGGAGGAUCCACAUCAUCAGAUACAUCAGAAGUGUGUAGUUCAGUUAGUGCUCCAUCACUAAUUGGGGACGGCUCAUUGAAGGGCCGCUCUCUUAAGAAAAGCAGCCAGAUUCCUCGUCCAAGAAUCGGAAGCACACCUGUUGUAGGGGAUAUUUCUUCCAUAAACCAGCCUGAAACACUCAAAACACUGCUGAUGGAAUCCAAAAAACGCAUCACUGACCUGGAGGACAAGCUGAAGGCCACAGAGGGUACUGUACGAUAUCAGACGCAGAAGAUGAAGUAUUACAAAGGCCUCCUGGAGGAUAAUGGAUUAAUCCAACGCAGCCCAAUGUGUAGCAGAUCUAGUAGCGAAAGCAACCUAGCAGCACUAUUCAGUAAGAUUCCAGUACGCAAACGUACCGCUUCACAAGAACAUUUACCAUCCGUUGUUGGGUCUAUGGAUUCUGCCAUUGGAUCCGAUUAUGGGGGUGCUAUGGAUACAGUGUUUGAGAGGUUUGGUAAAACUGACGACAAGGAGACUCUGAAGGAUCAAGUGACACAAUUGAGGGAACUUCUCGUCCGACAGAGCAGAGACAUCAAAGCUUUGAGAGACAAAUCAGAGAAGGAAAAGCAGCAACGCCCAACAGACCGACUGGACCAGAAUGCCCAGACACUUCACAGCCUCGACGACACGUUAGUGUCGCGCCACACUUUACAGGACCUGUACCAACAGAUGGAGACACUGCAGAGGAAUCUACAAGAGACGCAGGACACUAACGCAGAACUUCAGCACAAACUUCUACAGCUUCAACACCACAACGCAGAUACCUUACAACUACAGCUCAAAGACAGUCAGGCACAGACUGCGGUCCUAGAGGAAAAGAUUGCAGCCUUCCAAAACUCGUCUGUUCACGAAAUAUUAGAGGCCCAAAAAUCUGAGCUUGUCAUGUUGAGGAAAAAAUUCUCAGAUACCCAGAACUCUUGUACCCAGCUGAACUACUGGCUUGAAGAAGUUAGCACGUUUCUCACUGAACUUGUGUAUGUAGACGAGGACGGCGAUCGCAAUCAGGUCCGUGGAAUGAAACACAAGGUGGAUAUGUCGAAGACCAUCGUCCGUAAUAUGUCUACCUGUAUACUGGAUUCCUUUGACGCAAGUUAUGAUGUCACCUCUGAUCAACCGCAGACAGACGAGAGUAAAGGAUUGGUAGCUGAAAAUGAGGCUCUGCGUAGGAGCGAGACAAAUCUAACAGAAGGUCUACGACAAAAGAACUUGGAGGUCGAAAAACUGACCAAUGAACUACGCAAGAAGAACAUGCUUGUUGACCAGUUACACCAGGAAUUGCUUCACUUCCAUCAGAUGAACAGGAAGUCGGAGUCGCCGAAAUCCUCAUCUACAGUCAGUAGUGCUGACGGAAAUGUCACUCCCAGCGGGAAAAUGUCCAAAGGAACACAUGAACUUUCCAACAGAUCUCCAAGUAAUUCACAAAUCUCGGAACAAGUUAGUCAGGUGAGCAGUCUCAGGUCACCGGAGCGCAUGCGUCACAUGACUGGUAGCAGUUUUACAGAUGGCAGCCAUCUUAGAUUAGACAAGACACAGGAAGGUGUUGUGAUUGUUGAGGACGUAGCUGAUUCCAGUCAGGGAUCAACAGGCUACCAUUCUUCUCAUUUGUCUGGAGAUGAUUUCAUGCAAGGCCCAGGUCACUUACACAGCACAACUGAGUCGGACAAGGAAAAUUCCUCUAUUUAUAUUAGUGCAUUUGACACAGAUGAAAAACUUAUGUACAACAGACGUUUAGCAGACGGACAGAUGUUUGACAAUACGCUGACCCCACCUGUGUUCAAGUUGAAUGGAGAUACUUCUCUACCUACAAAGAUUGCAAAAGCAACUGAUGGUCGUCAUGUUGAGUUUAGUAUUUUAGAUAAAUCUGAGAGAGAAGAGGGCGAGGUAGAAUCAUUGCGGGCUCGACUGAGCGCUGUGGAAGAUCUGAACAAAACUCUAAAAGAUGAACUUAAUGUGUAUGAAAAUCUGUGCACUUCCAUUGGAGUUCAGAAUUCACCCACUAAAAUGUCGCCAUGCUCAAAGAGUAAACAGGAAACUGACACAGACCUGCUGCGUCAACAUCUGUCAGAACUCCGGGCAUUACGGAUAAAGCUAGAGCAUUCUGUCACGGACAGUGACCGACUAAGACAUCAGCUGGAACUGGACAUGGAUGGGCACAAGAUAACAACAGAUUCCACACAAAACGUGUACAUGUACAGUAAGCAACAGACGACAAUCACCGAACUACAGCAGACAAUCCGUCUGCUACAACAGCAACUGAAGGAGAACCAGUCAACAGUUCGUGACAAGAUCAUCACCAUCCAGGAGAGGGAGUGGACCAUACAAAAAUUACAGCAGGAACUGUCUGAUACAAAACAGCAACACACUCGCAGUCCCAACAUCAAAACACAGACGCCAGAAAAGGAUGUCUCUAUCCGUGAGUGGCACGAGAAUGUCCGCAGCCAGGAGCAGACAUGUGUGUUACAGCAGAGGCGGAUAGAACAGCAGGACAAUCUACUGGAGCAGCUACGCAAAAAGUUACAGCUACAGGAGCACAGUCUCCAUCAACAGGAGACCAAACUGAAGGAGAUGUACGAGUCUGCAGGGCAGCAGAAGGACCAAGACAUGCAUGACAAAGACAACAUGAUUCUACGGCGGGGUAAGCAAAUCGCUCAACUGGAACAGUCCACCGAACGCCUUGAAAAGAAAAUCUCUCAAUUGGAAGAUUGCAUUAAAAAACAAGAAGAACAGGUCAAACAAAAGGAAAGUUGCAUAAAAACUAUGAAAGGAGAAUUGCAAAAACAGGAAGAUACCAUUCAACACCAGGGAGAUGUUGUGAAACAGAGAGAGAAAGUCAUCAGGAAACUCAAGGAUGAAGUGCAUAAAAAGGUUGACAUCAUCAAGCAGCAAGGGGAGACAAUAACUGAUAAGGAGACAGCAAUGAAGUCGCUGAGCCGUGUCGUACAUGAACAGGCGGACCACAUGCGAAACAAGGACAACACUCUUCUGAAAUAUGACAAGGAAGUAAGAUCCCUUAAUGAGAAGGUGAAGCAGCUGGAUCAGCUGAAGGCAGAGAAGGAUGAGGCUAACAAUCGCCUGGUACAGAGGAAUGAGAUCCUAGACCAAGAUAACUGUAAGCUAGUGGCACGCAACGAAGAACUUGACUCUCAACUCAAACACAGCAGCAAGGAAGUUGACAGGCUGAAGCAGGAGAUGGAAACCAUGCUGGAGAAAGCACAAGAGAACCAAGACUUAAAUAAGACUCUCAAACUGGAACUCAGUGUGUAUGAGAAACUACAGUCUGAAGACAGCAGCAGUAAACCCCUGGGAGGCUUCGACAUCCGCGAACUCCUGACGGAAAUCCGACACCUCCGUGUCCAGCUGGAGAGAUGUAUUGACACCAACAAUGCCCUCCGACAGAAACUGGAAGAACACCUUCUACACCAAGCCAGUCCUCAACAAGUCACCACUACAACCACCAAUUACUUCACUGUCAAAGAUGGCAGUCCCACUCGCUCUAACGGAACUGAUGUCCCAGAUGGUCAGCCCAAUCCAGAGAGGCCAUAUGUAAAUGGAGCACUGACCAUCAGACGUGUCCAGAGUCAUCAAGUCCCUAUGGGGUCAAGGUCAGCCAGUGGAUCGUUUGCUUCCAACAGUAGCGACACCAUGUCAGUCUCCUGCCCCAGUGAUACACCCUCUUUGUCUGGCUUCGGUAUAUCAACAUGGCCUCCUAUGUCGUCUGAAAAUGUCAUGUUCAGCCAGCAGAGGGAGCUGUGUGUGUCGCAGUCCUCACCAGGGGGCACUCUGCACCAGUCGCUGGUCGACCUGGCAAAAUUGGGAUACAACUCACGGCCCGUGAUGUCUGAAGGGAAUUUAUCAUAUUAUGUUGACGAUCCCCCUAGCUCUGUCGCAGAUUUGACAGGAAUAAAGAUUGACUCUGAUCUAAGGUGCUUAUUUGCUGUUGGAAAACUGGAUGAUUAUGAAAAAUUGAAGAAGGAAAAUUGUGAAUCCUUGACUGUAUUGAAGGGCAUUGAGGCCCGAAUCAAGGAGAGGCUGCGAGUGUUUAAAACCAUGCGGACCUCUGAGCUCAUUAAGAGUGUAGAGUACAGUACCUUGAAGGAACUCUCCCUCAGCUCCGAAAACCUUCGUAUCUGUCUGGAUGAAGAGAAAUCUCUCAUUGGCUGUUUCUGGACAACCCAGCUCCCUAAGGGUGGUAGUGAUGCCAAAGUCACGGCGGAGAACAAACUCCUACGCGCUGAACUGUUUACGAUCCAGUCCAAGUAUGAGCUGAUGGUGAAGAUGGUACAGGAUGCUGAGACUCGGCUCCAUACCAGUAACAAACAGAAACAGAGUAUGGAGGAGAUAAUACAUCGUCAGUUGAAAAAGACAACGAAAGUGGUAGCCAAGGCGAGGACAAACUUUGAGAAAGAUGUUCCCAGCAACAGUUCAGGACAGCUUGUUUCUAUCACCAGAGGCCAACCUUUACGGGAUGUGGAUACGGACAGUGAGAUUAGCUACAGCUGAUAACAAUCGGCCGGAGUAGUGACCAUUGCGUGUGUGUUUGACUGUUACAUUUGGUUCAUUAGACUGAAUAGCCCAGAGACAGUGAUGAUAAGAAAUGCUACGACAAAGAGUGUGAACUAUGUCCUAAAUAUGUAAUACAACUCAAGUUUUAGGUCAGUUUGUUGAAUGAAGAGGAACUCGAUGUGGCUUGUCGUCCACGUUAAUAUAAGGGGGUCACUGUUGGAGAGCCGUUGUUGAUGAAACCUCAAAGUCAUCAUAUUGUUGUCACGUUUUGUUAACAAUGUUGCCUAUGUUGACUGCUGUUGUUUGUUAGUCAACUUAACAUACAGACCAUGUAUCUGUCCGGUACAAACAUGGCCUCAUCCCGUCACUGUUACAGGUAAUUGUAUGGGCCAGGUACACACAUCCCGUCACUGUUACAGGUAAUUGUAUGGGCCAGGUACACACAUCUCGUCAAUCAUAACUUUUCUUCUUUAGUGUGAAUGAUCAGUAUGUAUGUAUCAGGUGUAUGUAUAAUUGUGUGCACGGGUAUUAAUUUAAUAUUACCCUUGGUAGAGAUCAGGAAAUUCAAACCCUCUGGAAGAAAAAUUAUAGAAACCUGAGUUUUCCUCAUUAUUUCAUGCCUCCCGUUUGAAUCACCUUUUCUAUACCCCAUUUGCAGGGGUAGAUCCUCCUAUUUCUUGCCUACCUUCAUGAUAAAAAAAAACCCAAUUAAUUCUAUAAAAGCACUACAAAAACUGGUGCCAGUCAGAGUACAGACAUUAUUUUUCUUCUUAAUUUUAACAUUACAGUCAUUGCACUAUUGACUUGUGACAUCACAGCAGUGAUUUAGACCAGUGAAUUUCAGAUAGAAUUUUCAGCACCAUUGGACUUGGGAUAUCUUGGUUGAAUGUGCAAUUCUCUCUACAGGUGCCAGUGGCAGGUUGAGCCCACUGUUACACGUGUAGAUUGAC
RNAcentral lists this unclassified non-coding RNA (9396 nucleotides) under Mizuhopecten yessoensis (Yesso scallop). RNAcentral's name for it is "myomegalin-like, transcript variant X9". Lineage: Eukaryota; Metazoa; Mollusca; Bivalvia; Pectinida; Pectinidae. The record is from RNAcentral.